AUACGAAGGGGGCUAGCGUUGUUCGGAAUUACUGGGCGUAAAGCGCAUGUAGGCGGACAUUUAAGUCAGAUGUGAAAUUCCCGGGCUUAACCUGGGAGCUGCAUUUGAUACUGGAUAUCUAGAGUGUGGAAGAGGUAAGUGGAAUUCCGAGUGUAGAGGUGAAAUUCGUAGAUAUUCGGAGGAACACCAGUGGCGAAGGCGGCUUACUGGUCCAUUACUGACGCUGAGGUGCGAAAGCGUGGGGAGC
RNAcentral lists this ribosomal RNA (247 nucleotides) under uncultured bacterium. Its description in RNAcentral is "partial 16S ribosomal RNA". It matches the Rfam family "Bacterial small subunit ribosomal RNA", at positions 523 to 769 of the family's 1533-position model. The record is from RNAcentral.